This 506-nucleotide small RNA is filed under the name Pongo abelii (Sumatran orangutan). Its description in RNAcentral is "retained intron". The record is from RNAcentral. Lineage: Eukaryota; Metazoa; Chordata; Mammalia; Primates; Hominidae.
AGUGGGGUUUGAGAUUGGACCCAGGGUCAAGACAGAACGUGAAGGUGGGAUGAGGACAUGGACAGAACAUGGCCAAGAAGGGUCUCGGGGAGCAGCCAGGACGAGGAUGGGGGCGAGGAACCACCCGGACUGGGUCUCCAUGGGCGGGGUCGUGGCUUAGGGCAGGGACAGGUGUAGGGCGAGGGGUGAGUCCAGGGCGUGGACGUGCGUGGGUUCACAGGCGUGAACGGUGGCCGCACGUGGGCUGGGACUGAGCUGAAAAAUCGGCCAGGGGCGAGGCCCGGGUAGGAAGUGGGUGCGGCGUGGCCUGACGGUGUGAUUGGCAGGCGGAGCUGAUCCGAGAGGACAUCCAGGGGGCUCUGCACAAUUACCGCUCGGGCCGCGGGGAGCGCAGGGCGGCGGCGCUCAGGGCCACGCAGGAGGAGUUGCAGCGCGACCGCUCGCCCGCCGCUGAGACCCCGCCCCUGCAGCGCCGUCCGUCAGUCCGCGCAGUGAUCAGCACCGUA